RNAcentral lists this ribosomal RNA (527 nucleotides) under uncultured bacterium. RNAcentral describes it as "bacterial SSU rRNA". It matches the Rfam family "Bacterial small subunit ribosomal RNA", at positions 777 to 1304 of the family's 1533-position model. The record is from RNAcentral.
AAUAGAUACCCCGGUAGUCCACGCCGUAAACGAUGAGUGCUAAGUGUUAGGGGGUUUCCGCCCCUUAGUGCUGCAGCUAACGCAUUAAGCACUCCGCCUGGGGAGUACGGUCGCAAGACUGAAACUCAAAGGAAUUGACGGGGGCCCGCACAAGCGGUGGAGCAUGUGGUUUAAUUCGAAGCAACGCGAAGAACCUUACCAGGUCUUGACAUCCUCUGACAACCCUAGAGAUAGGGCUUUCCCUUCGGGGACAGAGUGACAGGUGGUGCAUGGUUGUCGUCAGCUCGCGUCGUGAGAUGUUGGGUUAAGUCCCGCAACGAGCGCAACCCUUGAUCUUAGUUGCCAGCAUUCAGUUGGGCACUCUAAGGUGACUGCCGGUGACAAACCGGAGGAAGGUGGGGAUGACGUCAAAUCAUCAUGCCCCUUAUGACCUGGGCUACACACGUGCUACAAUGGACAGAACAAAGGGCUGCGAGACCGCAAGGUUUAGCCAAUCCCACAAAUCUGUUCUCAGUUCGGAUCGCAGU